AUUGAACGCUGGCGGCAUGCCUUACACAUGCAAGUCGAACGGCAGCACGGGUGCUUGCACCUGGUGGCGAGUGGCAACGGGUGAGUAAUACAUCGGAACGUACCUUAUCGUGGGGGAUAACGCAGCGAAAGUUGCGCUAAUACCGCAUACGCCCUGAGGGGGAAAGCGGGGGACCGUAAGGCCUCGCGCGAUUAGAGCGGCCGAUGUCUGAUUAGCUUGUUGGUGAGGUAAAAGCUCACCAAGGCGAUGAUCAGUAGCUGGUCUGAGAGGACGAUCAGCCACACUGGGACUGAGACACGGCCCAGACUCCUACGGGAGGCAGCAGUGGGGAAUUUUGGACAGUGGGGGCAACCCUGAUCCAGCAAUGCCGCGUGAGUGAAGAAGGCCUUCGGGUUGUAAAGCUCUUUUGUCAGGGAAGAAACACCGGCUCUAACACAGUCCGGGAAUGACGGUACCUGAAGAAUAAGCACCGGCUAACUACGUGCCAGCCGCCGCAGUAA
RNAcentral lists this ribosomal RNA (500 nucleotides) under uncultured bacterium. RNAcentral's name for it is "partial 16S ribosomal RNA". It matches the Rfam family "Bacterial small subunit ribosomal RNA", at positions 30 to 523 of the family's 1533-position model. The record is from RNAcentral.